AUUGAACGCUGACGGCAUGCCUAACACAUGCAAGUCGAGCGGAGCGGCGGACGGGUGAGUAAUGCCUAGGAAUCUGCCUGGUAGUGGUGGAUAACGUCCGGAAACGGGCGCUAAUACCGCAUACUAUCAGAUGAGCCUAGGUCGGAUUAGCUAGUUGGUGGGGUAAAGGCCUACCAAGGCGACGAUCCGUAACUGGUCUGAGAGGAUGAUCAGUCACAGUGGAACUGAGAUACGGUCCAGACUCCUACGGGAGGCGGCAGUGGGGAAUAUGGCACAAUGGGGGCAAGCCUGAUGCAGCCAUGCGGCGUGUGUGAAGAAGGCCUGCGGGUUGUAAAGCACUUUCAGCGGGGAGGCGUUACCCGCAGAAGAAGCACCGGCUAACUCCGUGCCAGCAGCCGCGGUAAUAC
This 407-nucleotide ribosomal RNA is filed under the name uncultured bacterium. RNAcentral describes it as "partial 16S ribosomal RNA". It matches the Rfam family "Bacterial small subunit ribosomal RNA", at positions 30 to 526 of the family's 1533-position model. The record is from RNAcentral.